UAGGUUUGAUCCUGGCUCACAUCAACGCUGGCGGCGUGCCUAACACAUGCAAGUCGAACGCGAAAGUGGAGCAAUCCAUGAGUAGCGUGGCAAACGGGUGAGUAACACGUGGGUGACCUGCCUUCGAGCGGGGGAUAACGUCCCGAAAGGGACGCUAAUACCGCAUGACAUCCUGCCUUUGAAGAGGUGGAGAUCAAAGCCGGGGAUCGCAAGACCUGGCACUCGAUGAGGGGCCCGCGCCUGAUUAGCUAGUUGGUGAGGUAACGGCUCACCAAGGCAACGAUCAGUAUCCGGCCUGAGAGGGCGGACGGACACACUGGGACUGAGACACGGCCCAGACUCCUACGGGAGGCAGCAGUGGGGAAUUGUUCGCAAUGGGCGCAAGCCUGACGACGCAACGCCGCGUGGAGGAUGAAGAUCUUCGGGUCGUAAACUCCUUUCGAUCGAGACGAAUGGCUUUCACUUUAAUAAAGUGGAAGAGUGACGGUACCGAGAGAAGAAGCCCCGGCUAACUCCGUGCCAGCAGCCCCGGUCA
This 535-nucleotide ribosomal RNA is filed under the name uncultured bacterium. Its description in RNAcentral is "bacterial SSU rRNA". It matches the Rfam family "Bacterial small subunit ribosomal RNA", at positions 1 to 523 of the family's 1533-position model. The record is from RNAcentral.